GAUGAACGCUAGCUACAAGCUUAACACAUGCAAGUCGAGGGGUAACGAGAGGAAAGCUUGCUUUCCUUGUCGACGACCGGCGCACGGGUGAGUAACGCGUAUCCAACCUGCCCCCAACUAGGGAAUAACCUUGCGAAAGUAAGACUAAUACCCUAUAAUUUCCUCAGAUGUCAUCUGACGAGGAAUAAAGAUUUAUCGGUUGUGGAUGGGGAUGCGUCUGAUUAGCUUGUUGGCGGGGUAACGGCCCACCAAGGCAACGAUCAGUAGGGGUUCCGAGAGGAAGGUCCCCCACAUUGGAACUGAGACACGGUCCAAACUCCUACGGGAGGCAGCAGUGAGGAAUAUUGGUCAAUGGGCGGAAGCCUGAACCAGCCAAGUAGCGUGCAGGAUGACGGCCCUAUGGGUUGUAAACUGCUUUUAUACAGGAAUAAAGUUAGCCACGUGUGGUUAUUUGUAGGUACUGUAUGAAUAAGGACCGGCUAAUUCCGUGCCAGCCGCCGCAGUAA
Molecule: ribosomal RNA, 506 nt
Filed under: uncultured bacterium
Lineage: Bacteria
Description: partial 16S ribosomal RNA
Rfam family: Bacterial small subunit ribosomal RNA
Source: RNAcentral